RNAcentral lists this ribosomal RNA (253 nucleotides) under uncultured bacterium. RNAcentral's name for it is "partial 16S ribosomal RNA". It matches the Rfam family "Bacterial small subunit ribosomal RNA", at positions 524 to 776 of the family's 1533-position model. The record is from RNAcentral.
UACAGAGGAUGCAAGCGUUAUCCGGAAUGAUUGGGCGUAAAGCGUCUGUAGGUGGCUUUUUAAGUCCGCCGUCAAAUCCCAGGGCUCAACUCUGGACAGGCGGUGGAAACUACCAAGCUGGAGUACGGUAGGGGCAGAGGGAAUUUCCGGUGGAGCGGUGAAAUGCGUAGAGAUCGGAAGGAACGCCGGUGGCGAAAGCGACGUGCUGGACCUCUUCUGACGCUGAGGCGCGAAAGCCAGGGGAGCAAACGGG